CCCUGUCCCUGCUAACAGCUCUCUUCUGCACAGGUGCCUGGGGAGGGUGGAAAUUCCUCCCAGGUUUUCCCAAGCCUGUCCACAAAGAAGGGCUUCUGCCAUGACCCUGUAUGGAAACCACACCUCAGAGACUGUGCCUGCUUUCCUGGAUGCCAAUGCAACAGCCUGUCAGGAAGCUUCAUACACUUCGGGUCAGACGCUCUUUCCCUGAAGAAGAAAAGGAUAUUUAUAGCCAGGUAGAACCGUAACGGGGAAAUCUCCAGGCUGCAGUACCUGUCAGAUGAGUUUACUUAUGGCCCCAAUAGCAACAGCCAACCUGGAACCCACUACAGGGAAGUAAAAAUGUGAGGGUCCAGCCCUGGGACACAGCAGGGUCUAACCCAGACAGCCUGGGGAAGUGGCUCGGAUGCAACUUGGAGAGUUGGACUCGGUUUCUGGCCUUGCAGAAGAGGAACCCUGAUGCUGUGUUUGCAUUCCCAUGGUUGGGGGUGAUCUCCGGUCUGCCUCAGCAGCCUGGAGCCUGGAUGGAUCUCCUCGGAGUGUUCUCCCACCAUGUGAGACCUUGUGUACUGGGUGAAUAAGCACAGGGCAAGUGAUGAAAUAAGGGCCGUGAUGCUGCUGGGCUACAUUGUGGUCCUGACAAGAAACAUCUGGGCUUGGAGAGGUGGAGGACACCACAAGCCCAUGAGGCUGAGGCCCAGCAGUGACCUCGAGAGGCAAGAGCCAAACGUGUGAACCUUAUCCCAGCUACGAGACGUGGCAGUGCCGCAGCAAACACCAGUGUGUGAGGAUGGUGCGUGAUGGCUGGGCAAGGGAAGGCAGGUCACCUUGUGGAGGGGGAGCACUCUCGAGAAAGACCCUGCCUGGGUUUAACUCUGCUGAGGCCACUGGAGCACAACAUGAAUGGGUGCUAUACUCAAGAAGAUUCAAAUAUUCCUGGGACCAGUUCAGGACCGAGGCUUCUCAGUCACUCUGCAGCUGGUGGGGUCACUUUCACCUUGCAGAAUGGAUUGAAAGGCUUUUCACUGGAGCUCCUUGCCCUCCUGCACAAGGAUUGAAAGGUUGUGCUCUUUGGCUUGUGAGACAGAAUGACCGCAGUUGCUGCAAGAGAGCAGGAAAUCAUCUCUGUAAAGCUGUCCAGAAAGCCUUGAAUUCAGGAUUACCCUGCAUGGCUCUGCAUGCCCUCCUGGGCCCUUAGCAAGGAUUCAGCUGCUCUGCAGUCCUUAGCUUUAUCACAGGAAACUUCUUCACCUAGCUGCUGCCAGCAUGCUUUUGGCAACCCUGGGUGUCCUGUCAGCUGUUACAGGCCAUUAAAGGAUUUGUUUCUCUGUGUAUGAAAAGGCUUAAUUCAAUUCUCAUUCUCUCCUGGCAUUCCUCAGAGUAACACAUGCAUCGUUCAGCUUCUGUUGCUCCAUGUGUCGUGCUCUGUUACUCCAUCUUGCUCAGAGCUGCAGAGCGGAGGAAACGCUGCCAAGGCUUUUUCUGGGAAUUUGCUCUGGUCCUGCUACUUCCCUGGGAGUGCUCAACUGAUGUGUUUCAUUUUCUGGGGGAAUAAAAUGUCAGCUUCUGAAUGGACUAUCAGAGACCAAGGCAAGGACCAACUGCUCCUUUGUCUUUGUGGGCAGGUGCCCACACACACAUAGCCACAAUGCAGGGCAAACUCUGCUCCUCCCUUCUGGCCUGGGUUGCAAUGAUGGAUUAAGUAGGGCAGAAUAGCAGGAGUUUUUGUGGAAACAGUACAUUUGAAGUGAGCCCAUGCAGCAGGCUGCAAGUUCGCUUGUAUGUAGAAAAGAUUGCUAGUGAUGGGGAUUCUCCAGCCAGGACCUCUGAAUUGAGCAAUGGCAAGCUGUCCAGUUUUGCCCCAUGAAGAGCCCAGCCUGGGUGGAGCUGUGAUAUCUCCUUCAGGAAGCCAGGAUGGUUGCUGGAAGGAGCUGGAGAUGAGAAGAGGGAGAGUGGACAGGAGAGAGAAGGCUCAGGCAUUGCAUCAUCCUCACCUUUGCUCCCUGCUGUGAAUAAAAGUGUGUGGGACACACGAGACAGCACAAAUAGGGCGUGGGCAGAGUUGGGCAUUGCACAGCAGAGGGCUGGUGCAGAGGACAAGGCAUCCUCGCUUCCUCCUCACCACCUCUCUGAAACAUUUUCCAUGUGUAUUCUAGCACUGUUAUCUCUUUCAGGACCUCUUUUACAGGCAUUUUUAAUGAUUCCAGGGGAAAAUGAGGCUCAGAUGGCCAGUGACAAACCCAGCCCAAAGCUGCCCAGACUUGGGGAGGUUGCUGCUUUGCCUGGAAGCAUUGCAUUUCCUUGGUGUAGGUUCAGUAGUUGCCUUCGAUGCUGAACAGGAGGAAGACAUUUCCACCUGCUGGACCAGCACAAGCCAAGACCCAAACUGAACAAAGAAUGGACAGUAUAUUCAGGGAUAUGUAAAUCCUUCUCCUCCAGCCUUGGGAAGUUUAUUGCCCUCAACAAAGUACACAGCAUGGCUGUCAUUCCUGAGGAGCCCAGGCAGGCCGUUAUGUGACAAGGGAAAAUUACCCAGGCUGUUCUCCAGAAGGCAAGUGAGCAGGAAUUUUCCUCCGACUGGUUCAGGACAAAGUUAAUGUAGGGAAAGCCAUUAAAAUUAAUGCUGGUAAACAAGGAUAAAAACCAGCAGGGCUGUAACAAAAUUUGGACCAGAUUGGUUUUCCCAGCUGUCACACUGCAUGCUGUCUUCAAGGCAGCAGGCGGAGGGAUGGGGUAAGCUGAGUUCAGAAAGCUCUUGUUAGAGGUGGCUGUUUGGUUGGGGUUAGGGGCACUGGGCUCCAGUGGCACUGGCUUUGUGGUCCAGCACUUUAACCCACUCAGGUCUUUUUCUGGGAAGCAGUGAUGCUGUUUUGUCCGAUGGUUGUUACAUCUCAUAUCUAUUAAUGUAAUGGUUAUCUGCUCUCCUCCAGAGGCUGCCCUCAAAAUCCAGGCCCUGCUCUAGGGCUCUGAGAAUGUGUGGUUGCUGGCUGCAGGUGUUUUGUGUGAGCAUGUUUGGGAGCUGAUCUCAGGCCGCUGAGGCAGUGACUUACUCCAAGAAGCCGAAUCUCGGAGUUCAGAUGGAAAAGGUGCAAAGGGGCAUGGUGAUUUCCCUCUCCCUUUUGCCUGCUCCAAUGUGAAUGGGAACAUGCUCAAGCUGGGUAGAGUGAGGAUUAUUGGGGAUGUUGUCCACUGUACUGGGAGGAAGACUCAGGUUUGAUGCCUUGUCUCAUAUUGGUGGUGGGUAUGGGCUAAACAGGGCCCAGAGCAUCCCAAGGAAAAUGCCCUGGCACAGGAGCUGUGUGUUACUGCACUCUUCUAGGUAAAUGGCUUUUUCCAACCCCACAGCAUACUAGCAUAAGCCAGUCAACUUCUCCAAAACUUCUGGCACCAGAUAUUUAACUGACUUGAUGCUUUGGAAUAGUUGGAAUCUAGUAUAAUGAAGGCAAAAUGUCUAGCCUCAGAACUGAAGUAAUCGACCAUAUUUUCAAGUGACCACUGAUUUGAUGGUAGUGGUGAGAAGGGAGAGGUAUGAAAGCAGUUAGCCACUUCCUUGUGGAUCCCGAGAGACUUAGAUAGUAUGUUUGAAAAGAAAUAAGGCAACAGUCUCAUCUCUGAGCACAGCCAUCUUCAGCAUAGAUGAACAACAUAGGUGCCAACAGCCAUAGAAAAAUCCCCAGUACACCAGUCAGCGCGAAUAACAGCAGAAGGAUCCUUUGGUUCCUCAAGAGGUGUGUAUACCUUGUAUCUCCCUAGUAAGGCUGUGUUUGCUCAGAUUUCAAUGGUUUUGAUGGCCCUGUCUUGGAUGGUCGGGUUCUGUAGGUUGUGUUCUGGUGGAGUCUUUAUGGAGCAACUUGCGAGUGAAGUGAAGUUGCUGAGAUAAAAUGCUGCAAUGUCUGCAGCCAAGUGCAGGGAACUACAGCUGGAUGUCUAAAGUCAUCCUCAUCAGAGAGGUGAGGGAAAGUCUGGGCAGAUCAAGACUGAUGCUGGAAUGGAAAGCCAUGUGGAGAGAGGCCCAACACACAAGUCGUCUUUUGGAGCCCUCAUCCCUGGGGGAAUCCACAGGCUGCCUCUAUGAGGAGACAUCAGCCUCUUUUCUCCAGUCAAACUGCCAGCAGGUUGCUGUCUCAGAGGUGUACUGCAGGUGAGGUGGGCAAACGUGGAGACCUUUCUUUUGUUUUUCAUGAGACAUCACCAAAGAAUCAGGAUGAUAGAACUAUUUUUGUGGAAGUGACUAUGUGAAAUAUUUUUUUCAUUCUGAUUAUUUGAAAACCAAAACUGUUCAUGUGUUUUAAAAUUUAUGUCCCCUCCAGGUUGCUUGGCUUUGUUUAGUUUCUUAUACUCUCUCCCUUAUUCCUCAGAGGAAGCCAUCCAGACCUAAACAGUGUGUUAUUUCUUGAGGAAAUGCAAUCGUUUUCCAGUCAAGCUUAGGCUGGAAAUACUUGUGGUGAUUAAUUUGUCUGAGAAAUUUAAAAAAGCUUGGAUGGAACAGAAAUCAGGCUGGUUCAGGAGAAGCUUCCUUGUGUUUGAAGACCCACUUGAGUAGGGGAGUUGUUUCAAAAGUUUUUUUUAUUGGAGAAAGAAAUUGUUCUAUAGGCUUUGUUUCGGAGACUUGGACUCAGCCAUUCUUCUGUUGCCGCUUCUUGGAUGGUUACAAGAUCUGGAGGCUGACCAUCCUGGUCCCAGCCUCCCAUGCCUGCUGCAUUGUAGAGCUGUGCCACCUCUCACAGAGUCCUACAUCUUGAUCCCUCUGCUCUCCAGGGUCACCACUUCUGCAGGGUGCAAUGGAGGUAAUGCCAUCUUUGCCUUGACUGUACUUUGUACCAGAAGUCUUCCCCAAGAACGAGGAUCAUAUGGGUGCAGAGCUGUCUUGAAUACAGCAGGGACCUUCUGCUAUUGCACAGUGAAGGGUCCAGGUCCCACAUUCAUCACUACAGUCUACUCAAGCUUCUUACCACCAAGAACAUCUUUCUGAGGUUUCCCAACAUCCAGCAAGGUUCUGAGCCAGACACUAGAAAGGCAGAUGCAGUGGUACUAACCACAGCAAAGUCCCCUGCAGACUCUCUCUCUUUGGCCUUCAGUUUCCCCACCUAUAAAACAAGCGUGUUUUAAUGGUGUCCUCUUCGAGGCUUGGCUUUCUGUUUUGUCACACAAGGAGUUGUGGAAAACCACCAGGCAAUGGCUAGAAUCAGAUGAGCUGGUCUGUCACGUCCCAAGAGCAAUCAUGGGUUUGAGGGGCUCUUCUUAUUUCCAUGGCAUGUCCCAGAAGAAGCUUGAUCGGAGGCACGGUGUAUCAUGGAAACAGGACUGUGCUGGAGAGGCGUGGGCAAAGGGGAUACUUCAAAUGGGACAGGAGUGGUGGUAAGUACCUAUGUGUCUGGAAGGAAAUACACCAAGAAGGGGCCUGGGUAGAGGAGAUCACCUACUCCUGUUGCUGACUGCUCUGUGAGCUCCCAGCUCUGCUGUCUAGCACUGGCCAGAUCCACAGUACAACUGCUCAUCUCCAGUCCCUGCCUUCUCUGUGCCCCACAUGCUGCUUCUCCUAUAAAUAGCCUGGUGGGAAGCAGAGCACAGAGCCACCACAGAUGGCCCCCAGUUCCACAUGUAGUCAUGUGUGAGAUCCCAGAUAGGGGCUGUCAAUUCCUUGCCUUGAGCCACCCGUGAAACCUCAUUAAAAAUGGUAUCUUCUUCCUUAACCCCCAUCACCCCCUCCCUUCCCACUUCAACUUGCCUGCAUUCAAGCACCCUUAUUAAACAUGCACUUCUAAGCAAGGAGCGCUGACUUCCCCUUAAUUGAGGCAUAAUAAUUAGAGCAUUAACACAUUAGGAGGGUGAGACAGCAUGUUUAGCUUUUGUGAUUAAUUAUCUGAGGAUUGUAAUAAGUUGUUAAGACAUUAAUUACUCUGGCAUGUUUAUUGCUCUUUAUUGCAGAACAGACACUUGGUAGCAGCAAGUGCUAGUGCAUCUGGAAAUACAGCAAGAAGGGGUCUGUAGGGAGGAGACCACCUACUAGCCCACAAAACAGUGAGCUGCUGGUGGUGGGGAUAGAGUGGGGACAUCCUCCUGGGUGGACCUUGGUAACCAAAUCGGUUUAUUUCUCUUCCAUCUCCAGGAGGCCACAGAUGGAUAGAAGUGGUAUCUGAGUCCCUUAGGACAAUCUCGGACUUUGAAGGUCCUUUCUGAUCUUUUAAUCUGGAUUUUCUCUUUCAAAUAAAGUGUUUCCUUCACAAUGGUUUGAGCUCCCCCUCAUUUGGAUCUUUGUGUUUCCACGCUAGUCAGUGUGACUCAGUCUCUGUCUGGAUCUUACACAGAAGGCUGCCUGUAUUAAAGACAGGCUAAAGUUCAGAGUGUCAGCACUGGUCAAGGAAUGGACCAAAACUCCAGUGUCCUCCCUCACCCCUCCAUUGGAUGAAUUUUAUUCUGGAGAAUUGGGAGGUAGGUUAGGGAGGGGUGUUGCUCUGGUGGCAGAAGAUGUUUGGACUGCCAUAGCCUGCUCUUUAGACAACAAGCUGCCCUGUGGCCCCCAGACAACUCGAUGCUGAUCAAUCAGAUUGGGUCUGAUGGCAGAGUUCAGGCCUGGAGGAUGAGUAGGACUUGUGUGCUCCUGAAACUCUGACAGGGAGAAAAGGCAGCCAAAUCAGUGGGAAGAUGUGGUGGGCCUGUUCCCAGCCUUCUGGUCUUCCCAUGAAAUACACACAGUGCCAGACCCUCCCCACCUCAACCUCCCUCUGCAGUUAUCUGGGCUGAGGAGAACACAGGAGACACAGUGGCAGCCCCAACCACCAUCAUGGAUAAAGAAACUUGGGAAGAUGAUAAAAAAUGAGAAGGCGGAGAAGCUAUGGGUGCAGUGUGUUGAUAUAGAUUUGCUUUGGCACCCUUGGACCUGAUGUUUAUGGUUUUUAAGCUGUUGCUGUGUCCUUGUGUUAUUACAACACGUGCUUGUGUCUUGGGGCAGCAACCGAUGGAUGCAAGGGGCAGGAGGGGGUCUUUCCCUGUUGCCUGUUGUUAGAGUUAAAAUGUGUAAUGAUCCUGACCAGUCUCUGCCUCCCAGAACUGACCGGUGUCAUGAUCACUCAAAUGUCUUGGUGGCAGGGGAGGCCAAAUCCCUUCCCUGUGUGUCAUCUGAAAGCGAUCUGCUGCCUUCGGCCCCUGGAGCCCCUACCGGUCUCUCGCUAGUCCAGCCUGGAUUUGGCAUUCACUAUUAGGUGCCUGCUUUCUGCGUUCAUGGAAAGUGUCAGCCCAGCAUUUCCUGCUCAGAUCCUAGGGACAAAGCAGGUCAUGACUUAUGCGUUUUAUCAUUAAAAAGAUAAUUUCCUCUAGAUGUGUGCAAUAAGACAAUGGCACUGACCUGUGAUCCUGGCGUUGCACAGCAUUAAUGAUUUCUCUUUGCAGGUAAUAAGCAGCAAAUGUACACAUUUUGGGGAGAUCUGAAUUUUUUUUUCCUUUUAAGACUGCUGUCUUCCUAGGCCAGACUUAAUUAGCAGACCUCAUUAUUUCCUCAAAUGUAACUUGACUUCCAUUGAAUGAGAAUUGUUCAGUGGAUGGGGAGCAGCAGAGCAGUGCUGCAAUAUUCAUAUUGUUUUAAUUGCAACAUUAACAUUUCAUGCUGCUCUUGGCAUACUUUCAGGUGCGGCCCUUUAGCUCAAUGCAGUGCUGUGAAAGGUUGGAUCAGAACAAUUAGGAUAGAGUGACUGGAUUUCUGGAUUUAUUUUUUUUUUUAAAGGAAUGCAAGCCUGGAUUCAAUCCCCAUCAUUCCUUUUGUUGGGCAGAACAGGGAGUCAAGCACCCCUGAAGUGUAAAUCCUUUUUCUGGAAUAAAGGAUGUGCUGUAGUGCAUGUUUAAAUUCUCUCUUUGCAGAGCUGAAGCCCUGCAGGUACAAGUGAUACGUGAUCCACCGGGCUUGAUGGCACCUCCUGGGACUUGACCUUUACUGGCUGAAUUCAGAGAAGUCCCAAAAUGCAUCUGGUCAGCUGGACCAGCAUCACAUAUGAGCUGGAGGAAAAAGGCUAUUUCCCACUUCUCAAUUACUUCCAGGGCUGUGGGAUGCCUGAGGCUUGAAAUGACACUCUGAACAGAUAACGACUGGGUCAGUGCAGAUCCUAAAUGAGCACAGGGAUUACCCUGCUCUGUCCCCAAACUGCAUACGGGAUUUGGCUUUCUUGCAUCUGGGUCAGACAACACUGAAAUGUUGGGCUCGGCCUUAGUAAGCUCUGGUCACCUUCGCUGCCUUGCCGUGUAACAUAUGCUUUCCGCUAAUUGUUCCCGUACUGGAGAGUGGUGUUGAGUGACAGGAGUUCCUGGCAGGAAUGACUCUGGGUUCCACGCUGGAACAGCCUAAUGAGGGUCUCCUAAUUGGGUCACUGAAAGGAGGUGAGCAAGGAAGGCCAGCCAGCAGCUUUAGUAAAUGGCUUCUUGGAGUCACCCUCCGAAGGCUGUAUUGCACUGUGUGACGUGUGAACCAUUUAAUUGACUUUAAAGGAGAACUAAGAGGCUGGUGUGUCCCCUUCAACCUUUAGGAGAAAGAGGAAGGGUUGCUGGGGAUUGCUCUGUCCUGCCAGCUUCUUGCUGGCAUUGGCUUGAUGAGUGGGUCUAGUCUGCAGCAAGGGCCUGUGUGGAGGGGAACAAGCUCCCUUUUGCUUACAAUAACAAUUGCCACUAAUGAGUCAACUGCUAAUGGGUAGCUUGGUAUGUAAGUGAUACUGCUGUGAGCAACCCUGGCGGCUGCUCAGACUCUGGGCUGCCUUCCUGGCAUUUGCUGGCAGCAGCCUGAAGAUGAAACAUCUUGCUGGAAGGCAAAAUCUCUGUCCGUAUCACAGAGAAGCAAUGAAAGGGUUACCGGGGGUGAGGGAGCUGCUCUGCCCAUCGCUGUUCCCCCUUGGAGCUGGGCAUGUCUGUUCCAUUUCAGGGAGCAUCUGAACUCAUCCAGAAGCCUGGGAUGGUGGUUCAAGCUGGAAGUGCAGCAGGAGCUCGGCUUGGUCACUGAAGAAUGGCAAGGGAAGAGCACACAGCCCAUUUCCAGAGGCUUUCCAAAGGCUAAAAUGACAUCUUGGCUGAUAGGAGAGCCAGCCAGCUAAGCACGCUCAAAACUUUCUCCCAUUAGUACUGUGUGCAGUGGGAUCCAUGAAGCCUUGUUCCCUGUGGAUAUAUAGCUUGCAUUUGGAUUCUCUGGUGUCUAGUAAGCUGUGUGUGCUGAAUGGAACGUCUUCCCUUACCAGGAUAUUUAUAGCAUAUCUCUCUCUCCCACGCAGAUUGUCUGAUGUCUAAUAACGGAUGAUACACUACAGUUUGGAAGAUGCUAAUAAUGUCUCUCCUCUGUUUGACAGUCUGUUCCCAUGAAAUUUAUAGACUCUGACUGUCUCAGAGACCUCUGUCUCUCUGUCAGAUCAGGUUGAAAUCUGUUUGCAGUGUCAGAAGUUGCUGGGGAGUGGGCAGAGGACAGACUGAUGCAGCAAGAUCGCAUAUGCUUUGCACUUCUUAGGAAAUUAGGCUGAAAAUGUGCGCAGCUCUAUUUCCUACAGAUCUGGGGGGGCAGCUGUGGCUCAGAUCACCAAAUUGCAACUUGGGGAAAGCAAGCUGGUUGUGUGGGAGGAAGGCAAUGAGCUCAGAGUCUACCCAGGAGAAGAACUGCUCUGCCCCCAGCCUUCUCUCACCGGCUGCCAUGCUGUGGGCUCUUCAGGCACGUUCGAGCUGCCUGGGGCGAUGAGCACAAGUGCAGAGUGUGGCCUCCUGUGGAAAACAGCCCCUGAGGACGAUAAACGAGCAAGCCCCGAGCUCCUGGCUGGUGUGAAGAAUUGCACGGCUAAAGGAUAAUGAAUGUCACGGCAGGAGACAGAGCAUUUCUUUGAGGCCAUUCAUCCCCUUUAUCACCCUGCUAACAAGCCCCAGAGCGACUUCAGAGAGACUUCUCUGGAGCAGCUCCAUCCCUCAGCCGUGCUGAUGGCUGGGUGCUGGGGGUCAGGAAUACAUUUUGUGGCAGCAGUGCUCAGUGGGGAAACUACAGACCACUCCCGCACCCCCCAAGUUUGGGUGCCAAUAGUAGGGACUGUGCAGUGACUCUGGCUUUGCUGGCAUGGAGACUGUGCCCACCUUCGGGCCAUGUGUUGUGCCACCUGAGAGAUUCAGACAUAAAAGCCAAGCAUCCAUCUUUUUUGAAGUACUUUUGGGCAGCGAGGGCCCUGCAGCUCCCUUAGGAGGAUUGCUCUAUCCUAAUUCCUAGCUUGUCUAAGAUUUAAGAUUUAUAAGAUUUAUACAAGACCCAACAGGACUUUGGGGCCGCCGGCACAGAGGUAACUUGGUUCUGCUUCACUUGCAUCACAGCUGAGUCCGUGCAUGUGUCUUGUGCGAGGAGGAAAGGGCAGGAGUGAUGUGCUCUGCGCAAGAGCUAAUAAAAGCUAAUUCAUCCCUUUGCUCCAAGACUGUAGGAAGCAUUAGUGGCUGGCUGAGUGCAUCCUCCACCGCGGCAGCAUGCUGGGUGCCUCCGCCUUCCCUCUGGCUAGGAGCAAAGCAUGUCCUCCUGUGGAGGGGAAGGCAUCUCUGUCAGCAAGAGCUGCGCUGUCUAUGACUGUGUCAACAGGCAGCCCAAAGUGCUGUCUGUAGCUGGCAUCCCUCCUGGGAAGAAAAAUGAGCCAAGUAACCUGGGCAGGUGGGCCUGGGAAUGAGGAUGGACAUCCCUUGGAUAAUUUCCUGUGCUGGGCUUCAACUCUGAGCAAGUGCCUUUGCCUCUGCCCUGGGGCUCAGGCCACAGCUUGUGAGAGCAGAGAAAAGCACCGUCCCUGAUUUGACCGGGACUAUGGGAGGGCCCUAAAAGGGCUGCAGCCAUUUGUGUCCAAAUAGGUGGCCAAAUAGGUUGGAAUACCUUCAACAACCACCUUGUGUGCUCACCCGUGCACUGUGCAUGCAGGUAUGUGGUGUGCCACCCUGCGUGUUCACCUAUCAGAGUCAUCGUGUCUACGGCAUGGUGCACAGUGGGUGAGAAUUAAGUAGAGCUAAUUGCCAGUAACUGGAAGUUUUUUAUUUUCCCUUCUGUCUGUUUUCUUAAUUUCUCUGUCAUCUUCUUUUCUGGGUUUAGCUGUUGGAGGAUGCUUUUUAUGUGGUCCAUGGUAAAGCACCCCACACCCAGUGCCAGUGGCAGGCAGGGCUGGGAGAAGAGAGUGAGAGGAGGAAAAGGGAAAGCAAACAGGAGAGGUUGUGUUGUCCUUGAGUGUCCUCAACAAAUGCUGGUGGUUUUGUAGGGGCAAAAAAGGUGGAGAAAAGCUGUAACGCUUUGCAGGUAGAGCGUGCAGAGAGCACUGUGGUGGGUAAUUGGGUUGUUCCCGUGAGGGUGGAAACAGCAGGAGAACAACAGUUGGUGGGGAUGGUCUAGAGUGUGUUUGCAGAGCUGUGGUCCUGGAGCAGAGGAGAAAGACUGGUGUGUUAUGGAGCCAGGCAUCUCUUUGAGUGCGAGCAGCACAAUAGCAAGAAGAUUGUAAUCCUAAUUUUUUCUUUCCAUUCUUUAUCAGUACAUUGCCAAGCAUUCUAAAAGGAAGUUAACCCACAGAUUGGAAAUCUUCACAUCUUGAGGCUUCAGAGACUAGUUCAAAGCCAAACAGAGGAACCAAGGCCACUGCCUGUUAGCGCCAAGGCCCCGUCACGUACUCUCCUCCUUGGCCCCAAAUAUUCUGCAUUCCAGACCUUGGCCUUUCUCCCAGGCCCCUGCACUGACCAGACCGAUGAUGGGGAGCUCAUUGGAGGCCAGUCAUGUCCCACAGGGCAGCUGGAGAACACAUUGCCUCCUGUGGCCACAUGUGAUCAGCUGGACUGCCUCUGGGAGGGUGGCACACUGGCAUGCGAAAUGGCCAUUUGAAGUGGGGUUGAAUUUAUAGGGCACCAUUAAAUGUGGAGUUAAAGGGAAACAAAAUACAUCACCUUCCUUGUGGGUUGCCACUCAGCCAAGAGUAACAGAGAUUAGCCUUCAAUCACACGGGGGCUGGAGCUGAAGGAAGCCUUCUCGAGGACACGCUGGAGAAACAUUUUCAUUAGUGGAGGAGAACCUGACAGAGAUGAAGUGCCCCUUCACCUCAGCUGCCGGACCUCUCCCCUGCCUAGUGUUAACAGGGUGGGGGAAUGCUAACAGAGGAGUUGGUGCCAGCUGCAACACUUUAAGUGCUGUCUGCAUCCAGAUGUGAGAAACAGCUGUGACAGAGCAAAGCAGCGCAUUUAUAGCCUGGUGGACGUGGCUUUAGUUUUUCCCUGCCUAUCGCUGAGCACUCGCUGCUGGAAGCAAACUGGCUGUCAGUUGAACAGAGGAAAUGGGUGUUAGGUGCAAGCCACGUACCUGUACGGGCAUGCUAGCGUGGGCCAGAAAAAGAUGUCCUUGGGGGAUGAUGUCCAAGGGUCCAGGAGGUAUCAUGGACCCUGCUUCCUGCAAUGCAUUUUGCAAAUGUAACAGGAUUGUCGCUGGGGUAGCAGAGGCUUUCUCUGCUCCAUAGAAAGCUGUUCCACAGCCCAUAGCCUGCUAUCAGCAGGCAUCUGUUCUUAGUCUGCAUCCCCCCAGGGCAGCUGAGAUGCCCAGGACUCACUUCUGCUAUUGAUGUCUCUGUUGUGCUGGAGAGACACACCCUGCACCCCAGCUGGGUGCCUGGCAAGGACCUGUCUGUCCUGGUUAUUACUGGGAAUUAGCUAGCAGGAUCCCUGCAGCCAGUGUCUGCCAACCCCCACCUUGCCUCCCUGGGGCUGGCGUGCUCCUGACAAUGGCAGGCUCCAUUUCUUUCACUCACAGCUGAAGGAUGCCUUGCCUGGUCCUAUCUUGCAGGUUGGACGGAAAUCGUUUUAAUUUGUGUGGCACAUUCCUUUGGGGGGGUGAGAAAAAAACCCAAUAGAAACUCCAGCCAUUCUGUGUAUUUUUAGCUCUUUGUGAAGGACCAUUAACAUCUCUUUCUCUCUUUAUUUUUUUUUUUUUUUAACUCCCUGAAGACUGUCCUCCCUUCGGGGCUGCGUGCAAUGCUGAUUAACAUCACAUUUCUGUGGUGAAGGUAAGCUGGUGCACAGCACUCCUCAAGACUCUGACUUGCAGGGAGUCUCAUCUCCUUUCCUUGCUCUCUGGGUGCCCACCCGUGAGGGUUCUCAGGGGCAAAGCCCUAUGAGAAGAGGCUCCCUGGCUGGGAGGGUGACAGGCUCAGACAUGUUCAUGUCUUCUGGGAUGGGUUUUAUCAGGAAUGUGAUCUGAGCUUCCUGAGAGGGAAGCCUGGCAGCCUGGGCAUUGGUUUGGGACACAAAAUCAGGUGGCUUCUGUUUUUGGAGUGUUCUCAUGUUAAGGUACCUCUCACUUCCCCAUUCUCCUUUUCAGAACUGAGAGCAAUCAAAAUUAGAGAAAAACCAUGCUUUUGAGCUUUUUUUUCUCCUGAACCCUUCACCUGCCUUGUUUUACUUUUUUUCCUACAAUCUCAGCUGGCUGAGUUUCAGUGCCAGCCUAUUGAAAGGAAAAGUGUGUGCUGGCUUAUGGAGGGAGAGAGACCUGAGACAGGAUAAGUCUGGAGACAAUGAGACUGGGAGGAGGUAAGUCAGCUGCUCUGAUGCUUUUAUUAUGGAGCCAGGCUGCUGAGGAAUGAAUCUUUCUGAAACAUAUGUUGCUGGAUAACAUUUCUACCACGUUCUGGCAGUAACCUUCACCAAGCCUUGCUGUCCAGCCUUUUGGUUGCCUGUUCCUGGGGCAAGGGGAACAAAUGUCAGUUGGAAAUGCCACAGGCAGCAGGGCUUGAUGGUGCUUGAUGCACCUCUGAUGAGUCUGAAGCCACCUGGACUUUGGCACCAGAAACUCUUCAGGCUACAGUGACGUCAGCUUACGGACACGUGUUGUUUUGCAAGGGAGGUGUUGUCUUCUUCAUUUGUUUCUCAUUUCAGAAAUGAAGAGGAUGCAACAGAGAUCAAACGAAAUCCUCCUUGGAGUUGUCCAGAGGAUAGAUAACAGUUCUGGAAAAGGAAGUCUGUUUGCUCGGUAACCUGGUGAUGAGGAGUCCGCUGAGUUGGGUGUACGGCUCAGUGAAUAUACAAAUGUGCGGUUGGAUCGUGGCCCCCUCUGACAGGCCGGAGAUGAAUACCAAACAUGCAGGGAGAAGUGCAUUCCCUUCUUUUGUUGCUGCUGCCUCUGAUGGUUGUUUUUCUUAGCCCAAGGAGGUGUGAGAAUCGCCUUUGGGAGCAGUGCUUCCUUCUGCUCCUGUUCUGCCUUGCCAAGGUUCAGUUCUCUGCCAUCCAUCAUCAGACGAUUCCUCUCCUCGCUCCCACAUCUCAGCUGCUGACAGGGAUGCCAGGGAAGGGGUAUCCAUUUUACCCUGCUUUUUGCUACCAGCCUUUUCCCUCUCCCUUUCAUAUCUCACCUCCCAGGCCUGUUACAAGCCAAUCGCCAAACUGAAGCUCAAGGAAACUUGCCUUCUCUUGCUAGUCUACAUGCUUUUGGAGAGAGGUGACCAGCACUAUGGGGCUUUGCAAGGAGAAAUGCACCAGCUAUGAGACGCUCAGAUGCUAUAACUCUGCAGGAUAACCUGUGUACCCAAAAGAUGAUGACAACCUGCCUUGACACCCAUGGAUUUGCUCAUCUCCUCCGGCCUCUUAGUUUCCUGCUGUCUGGUACAUGAGCUGCUUCCCUGGCCUCGAUGUAUGAAGAAGCUUUCAGCCAGGGCCCUGAUUCGGGGAGCAGCAACCAUUCCCUCCUGCCACCAGCUCCUGGGAGGAGCCAGCUGCGUGCUUGCGACCAGGCAAGGAUGCAGCAGGAGCUGUUAAGCAGCAAGAAGGGAGGAAGGCAAGCAAUGGCAGAUUCCUCUGGCGUCUCCACACUGCAGGGGUCUUGGCAAGAGCCUUUCUGAGAGCACUGCUCCCAACACCACUGCCAAGGCUCAGGAGAGAAGGAAUCUCUUUUUGACUGAGUUUCAUGGGCUUCGGGGGAGCUCCCUGAUUUACGGCCAACGAGGAGAUGGCUUGGAUGGAACAGAUCUUUGCCCUCCAGGGAGAUCCCUCCAAAAUUCACUGACUGUCUUAACCUCCAGUCCAGGAGCAGAGCCAAGAGGUCCCCUGGGAGCACUGUCCUGUGAGCAGCCAGGCUGGGGAGGGUCAGGGUCCGGCUCGAUGAGGUUUCAGGGUUUUUUUUUGUAAGGAAUUGUGGCCCAGAGGUCUCUGCUGGUGUCCAUGAUAGCAGCGUCCACAGGGCAGGUGCCAGGUUCUUCCCAUACGAGGUGUGAUGAUGCCUAGACAGGCAUGAAAUGUGCGUGGAGAGGCACUGGGAGAGAUCUGCUGCCUCUCAGAGGCCUGCAGCAUGGUCCCCCACGUGCCGUGUGCGAGGGCAUGGCCACAGGAAGGGUUGUGGGCAAUGCGGAAGCGAACGCAGCGAUAGAAACCACUCUUAAAAAGACUAUAAAAGUUGGGGCACCAAGGAGACUGCCGCUGAAGGAUCCUCACGGCGGGUUGAGCAUCUGCUCCAGCGGGGCCAAAAGCUGCCUCUGACCAAGCCACAUCCCCCGGCCAUCGGCACAUCACCCCAGCCACCGACACUCGAGCAAAAGCAGUGGUGCAGGGCAGCCAUGCUGGCAUCGUCCCUGCGCUCGGAGCCAGUCUGUGCUGCGUGAGCCAUCCCUCCUCCAUAGUCCCGUUGGCGUCCUCCAUCUGCUCAAGCUCUGCAUCUCUUUGGCUGGUCGCUGGGUGUACCAUGGAAGCACGCGGUUGGCACUAAGGGUCAAGAGCAUGCGUUUCCUCCAGGAGGGGUCAAACCAGCUCCCAAGGCGCAUGUCGUUGCUGAUGAAGAUGGAGUGCACCUCAAUGC
This is a non-coding RNA of Phalacrocorax carbo (great cormorant), 15784 nucleotides long. The record is from RefSeq and is a predicted model, not a curated record. NCBI's taxonomy places the organism in Eukaryota, Metazoa, Chordata, Aves, Suliformes, Phalacrocoracidae.